This 208-nucleotide ribosomal RNA is filed under the name uncultured bacterium. RNAcentral describes it as "partial 16S ribosomal RNA". It matches the Rfam family "Bacterial small subunit ribosomal RNA", at positions 568 to 774 of the family's 1533-position model. The record is from RNAcentral.
CGCGUAGGCGGUUUGGUAAGUCAGAUGUGAAAGCCCGGGGCUUAACCUCGGAAGUGCAUUUGAUACUGCAAGACUUGAGUAUGGGGAGGGGGAAGUGGAAUUCCUGGUGUAGAGGUGAAAUUCGUAGAUAUCAGGAGGAACACCAGUGGCGAAGGCGACUUCCUGGACCAAUACUGACGCUGAGGCGCGAAGGCGUGGGGAGCAAACA